GAGCUGUACCCUCGUUUACGGGGGGGAAACCCCCUCCCCCCAGGG
Molecule: transfer RNA, 45 nt
Filed under: Cyrtodactylus ywanganensis
Lineage: Eukaryota; Metazoa; Chordata; Lepidosauria; Squamata; Gekkonidae
Description: partial tRNA-Tyr
Source: RNAcentral